This 171-nucleotide unclassified non-coding RNA is filed under the name rhizosphere metagenome. RNAcentral describes it as "partial ribosomal RNA internal transcribed spacer region". The record is from RNAcentral.
GUAGGUGAACCUGCGGAAGGAUCAUUACCGAGUGGGGGUCCCCCGGGGCCCGAUCUCCAACCCUUUGUCUAUUCCACCGCGUCGCUUCGGCGGGCCCACGCCCGCCGACCGCGACCGCAAGUCUUGAAAUAUAACCACACAAAACUUUCAACAACGGAUCUCUUGGCUCUG